GCCCGGCUAGCUCAAUCGGUAGAGCGUGAGACUCUUAAUCUCAAGGUUGUGGGGUUCGACCCCCACGUCGGGCU
This is a transfer RNA of Sordaria macrospora k-hell, 74 nucleotides long. It matches the Rfam family "tRNA". Rfam says of the family: Transfer RNA (tRNA) molecules are approximately 80 nucleotides in length. Lineage: Eukaryota; Fungi; Ascomycota; Sordariomycetes; Sordariales; Sordariaceae. The record is from Rfam.